Molecule: long non-coding RNA, 420 nt
Filed under: Androctonus crassicauda
Lineage: Eukaryota; Metazoa; Arthropoda; Arachnida; Scorpiones; Buthidae
Source: RNAcentral
UAGAUAAAUAAAGUACUGAAAAGAUUAAAUAAGAUUAUAAAUUAAAAAGUUAAAUUGCUUUUGUAAAGACACAUAAAGACCCGAUCGUGGCGAGGCCUAUCGUAGAGAAAAUAAGAUCGCUGACUUAUAAUUUGAAAAGAUCCAUGGACAAAUGGGCAAUGAAAAUACUGGGAACAAGUAAUUACACAGCAAGCUCAGCAGAGGAAGUCCUGAGAAAACUAAGAGAGACCGAUUGGGAUGUGGAUAACACCUUUAUAACGUACGAUUUUGAAAGCCUUUACCCAUCCCUAAAGAUAGAGCCUGUGACUAUGGCACUAUACAGAUUUCUACCAGCUAAUGUUCCACAAGUAGAAGACAAUGCCCCAUUUUUUAGAGAAAUAACCUCACUCAUAUGCCAUAAUUCGUUUUUUAUAUACAAAG